Molecule: non-coding RNA, 72 nt
Organism: Ictidomys tridecemlineatus (thirteen-lined ground squirrel)
Lineage: Eukaryota; Metazoa; Chordata; Mammalia; Rodentia; Sciuridae
Source: Rfam
UGGGGUGUGGCUCAGUGGUAGAGCACUUUCCUCAUACGUGUAAGGCGCUGGGUUCAAUCCUCAGCACCACAU